ACGUAGGGUGCAAGCGUUGUCCGGAAUUAUUGGGCGUAAAGAGCUCGUAGGCGGUUUGUCGCGUCGGCUGUGAAAACCCGGGGCUCAACCCCGGGCCUGCAGUCGAUACGGGCAAACUAGAGUGUGGUAGGGGAGACUGGAAUUCCUGGUGUAGCGGUGAAAUGCGCAGAUAUCUGGAGGAACACCGGUGGCGAAGGCGGCAUCCUGGACCGAUACUGACGCUGAGGAGCGAAAGCCAGGGGAGCAAACGGGA
This 253-nucleotide ribosomal RNA is filed under the name uncultured prokaryote. Its description in RNAcentral is "partial 16S ribosomal RNA". It matches the Rfam family "Bacterial small subunit ribosomal RNA", at positions 525 to 777 of the family's 1533-position model. The record is from RNAcentral.